UUUACCCUCUCGAUAGCUUAGAAUACAAUCAUUCAGUGAUGUUUCUUAUGGAUUCUCUAAUAGUCAAAUAAUUGCUCCUAAUUGACUCAUUUCAUUUCUUGCAGUGGUAAAACUGUUACUAUUUCUCUAUAGAAUGAUCUUGCUACUAGGGCUGGACAAGAGCUUUUGGACAUGGUUGACAGUUCGCCCGUUGUUGCGAUAAAGAGCCUAAAAGUAUUUGACUUCCAAGAAGUACUCUCGAGAUUAAUCCUGAUCUGCCUGAGGCUAAGAAUCUUAUGUCCUGGUAUGACUCUGAAGGUAAAGAUACUUCACUGGUACCAAUUAGUGCAGAAGCGGGUGCCACACGCGCUGGUGGUUUCAAGUCCAUGUAUUUCGAUAGAGUUUUU
Zea mays is the source of this 386-nucleotide long non-coding RNA. RefSeq lists it as uncharacterized. Lineage: Eukaryota; Viridiplantae; Streptophyta; Magnoliopsida; Poales; Poaceae. The record is from RefSeq and is a predicted model, not a curated record. The transcript is spliced from 3 exons.